GAUGAAGAACGCAGCGAGAUGCGAUACGUAGUGUGAAUUGCAGAAUUCAGUGAAUCAUCGAAUCUUUGAACGCACAUUGCACCUCUCGGUAUUCCGGGAGGUAUGCCUGUUCGAGCGUCAUUUGUACCCUCAAGCUCUGCUUGGUGUUGGGUGUUUGUUCCGCCUCUGUGUGUGAACUCGCCUCAAAACAAUUGGCAGCCGGCGUACUUGUUUCGGAGCGCAGCACAUUUUGCGAUCCAGAUCAACGUACAGCGGCAUCCAAGAAGCCUUAUUUAACGCUCUUGACCUCGGAUCAGGUAGGGAUACCCGCUGAACUUAAGCAUAUCAAUAAGCGGAGGA
Molecule: unclassified non-coding RNA, 339 nt
Filed under: soil metagenome
Description: partial contains 5.8S ribosomal RNA, internal transcribed spacer 2, and large subunit ribosomal RNA
Rfam family: 5.8S ribosomal RNA (bases 1-120)
Source: RNAcentral